UGCAGAAAAUAAAUGAUAUCAGUUAAUGAUCAAUUAAAAAACUAAUUAACUUGUUUACAUUACUCAAAAGUUACCAUAUCACUGUUCCCAUCUUAACCCUCAAGAUUUCAAAUAACAAGUAAUCUUUACCAUAUCCUUUUGACCAUUUAUAAGAGAGUUGUGAUCAGAAAUAGACUUUGCUUUACAUGUAAAAUUUUUCAAUUGUGAAUGAUACCACUUUUAUUAUUGCAUUCAUUAGGGCUAUUUUUUAAUGUUUUAGUAUUUGACCGUCAACAUAUCUUCAGGAUUUAAAUAUGUCAUCUGUCAUCAAUUUUUUUACGGCGAUUCCGGCAUUUUAUGUGAGAUCGAUGAAAUGGAUCCAGACGAGUUGUCCUUGGUUGUAUAGAGGUUUAGUUUUCAUUCGUGGCGCAAUAUGGGAAUUCAUUCGUGUGAUGAUUACCAAUUGUAUCAAUGAUUAUAUCGAGGCAUACAGAAAAGAUGGGGUCAAAGGAGUUGCGAAAGCCGUUGGUGAAAGUAUUCGUGAAAUAUUUGGUAAAUUAUUUGGAAGUGCACGGAAUGCAGUAGUUUACGCUGGUAGAUUGUUCACCCGUAAGGAAAUAACAGAAAUGUUCACGGAGCCCACUAAUUUGACAGAA
Non-coding RNA from Tetranychus urticae (two-spotted spider mite), 635 nucleotides. The record is from RefSeq and is a predicted model, not a curated record. NCBI's taxonomy places the organism in Eukaryota, Metazoa, Arthropoda, Arachnida, Trombidiformes, Tetranychidae.